GAGUUUGAUCCUGGCUCAGGACGAACGCUGGCGGCGCGCCUAACACAUGCAAGUCGAACGAGCGAGAGAGAGCUUGCUUUCUCGAGUGAGUGGCGAACGGGUGAGUAACGCGUGAGGAACCUGCCUCAAAGAGGGGGACAACAGUUGGAAACGACUGCUAAUACCGCAUAAGCCCACGGGUCGGCAUCGACCAGAGGGAAAAGGAGCAAUCCGCUUUGAGAUGGCCUCGCGUCCGAUUAGCUAGUUGGUGAGGUAAUGGCCCACCAAGGCGACGAUCGGUAGCCGGACUGAGAGGUUGAAGGGCCACAUUGGGACUGAGACACGGCCCAGACUCCUACGGGAGGCAGCAGUGGGGAAUAUUGCACAAUGGGGGAAACCCUGAUGCAGCGACGCCGCGUGGAGGAAGAAGGUCUUCGGAUUGUAAACUCCUGUUGUUGGGGAAGAUAAUGACGGUACCCAACAAGGAAGUGACGGCUAACUACGUGCCAGCAGCCGCGGUAAAACGUAGGUCACAAGCGUUGUCCGGAAUUACUGGGUGUAAAGGGAGCGCAGGCGGGAAGACAAGUUGGAAGUGAAAUCUAUGGGCUCAACCCAUAAACUGCUUUCAAAACUGUUUUUCUUGAGUAGUGCAGAGGUAGGCGGAAUUCCCGGUGUAGCGGUGGAAUGCGUAGAUAUCGGGAGGAACACCAGUGGCGAAGGCGGCCUACUGGGCACCAACUGACGCUGAGGCUCGAAAGUGUGGGUAGCAAACAGGAUUAGAUACCCUGUAGUCCACACCGUAAACGAUGAUUACUAGGUGUUGGAGGAUUGACCCCUUCAGUGCCGCAGUUAACACAAUAAGUAAUCCACCUGGGGAGUACGACCGCAAGGUUGAAACUCAAAGGAAUUGACGGGGGCCCGCACAAGCAGUGGAGUAUGUGGUUUAAUUCGACGCAACGCGAAGAACCUUACCAAGUCUUGACAUCCCUUGACAGACAUAGAAAUAUGUAAUCUCUUCGGAGCAAGGAGACAGGUGGUGCAUGGUUGUCGUCAGCUCGUGUCGUGAGAUGUUGGGUUAAGUCCCGCAACGAGCGCAACCCUUAUGGUCAGUUACUACGCAAGAGGACUCUGGCCAGACUGCCGUUGACAAAACGGAGGGAGGUGGGGAUGACGUCAAAUCAUCAUGCCCUUUAUGACUUGGGCUACACACGUACUACAAUG
This 1200-nucleotide ribosomal RNA is filed under the name uncultured Bacillota bacterium. Its description in RNAcentral is "bacterial SSU rRNA". It matches the Rfam family "Bacterial small subunit ribosomal RNA", at positions 9 to 1232 of the family's 1533-position model. Lineage: Bacteria; Bacillati; Bacillota. The record is from RNAcentral.